Long non-coding RNA from Pomacea canaliculata, 528 nucleotides. RefSeq lists it as uncharacterized. The record is from RefSeq and is a predicted model, not a curated record. The transcript has 3 exons. NCBI's taxonomy places the organism in Eukaryota, Metazoa, Mollusca, Gastropoda, Architaenioglossa, Ampullariidae.
GUGGAUUUCAUGUUCAGCGCUUAACUUACCUCCGAAUAAAACCCGCAGCCCCUAUUAGCUACUCGCUGGUAAGGCCAGCGCGUCCCGCGCAUUUCGUGUUUCCGACUUUACCCGACAAUAGCUAACUGGCGAUGCAAAUUUAGAACUGCGACCUACAUUCUUUGUUCCGGGGGAUUCCCUAUUUGUGCGCAUGUCCAGAAGACGUUAAUAUGUCUUCCGGGAAAAACAAACAGGCGUGCUCACAGAUUUACUAUACAACUCUAUGGAUGUGCUCUUUUCGCGGAACAAACUUUGUCAGCCUACUUUUUUUGUAAUAAUGGAGCCGACGUCUUCCAAACGCCAGCGAGGAGCAAACUGGUCCAGCAGGGAAGUACGGGCAUUAUUAGAGUUUAAGAGAGAGGUUUUUGAGAUAACUCUAGUCAGCAGCUGCCCAGAUUUGCCUUCAUAUGCACCUGUUCCUGAUGCUGGCCUAACAAAGGAAGUGUUCUCUAGUGUAGAUGUCUGUGAUACAAAUAGUUUAAGAUGUAC